This 3224-nucleotide long non-coding RNA is filed under the name Homo sapiens (human). Its description in RNAcentral is "HSALNT0157640". Lineage: Eukaryota; Metazoa; Chordata; Mammalia; Primates; Hominidae. The record is from RNAcentral.
CGGACAGUUAUUUAUAGCAUAUCAUCCUUUUCACAAAAUGACACUACCCAGGCUGCAGGCUGAAGUACAUUUAAGUGAAAAUUCCAGAACAGAUGGAACACAUCUUUUCCCACUUCAGAGCGCGAGGGGGGACGAGGAGAAGCAUCCUCUGUGUCUCAGGAAGCUGCGUCAUUAGUUCGGGGUCAGGAUAAAGGGGAAGGAUGAACGCAUUUGUGUGUCAGGCUGCAGGGCACCCGCACGUGGAGAGAGUCUGCAGGCCCUCAGUCAAUCACACCGAUGUGAAAGCGAGGAUGGAAGGGGAGGGAAAUUACAUUUACCUGUGUCCUGGCUGCAGCCACGAUGGGUGCUGGGGAAAGUCAGGAGGACUCGGGAUGAGAAAGAGGCAGUAACUCCCGGUGUGUUCUGUCUGGGGGACCCAAGAAUGUCUGCACCAUCACUUCUCGGUUCUCGCUGGAUGUAGCGUGGGGCUCACUGGGGUCACACACCCUACGGGAUUUUGAAGUUUCAAAGACCUCUGGGUUUUAUUUGUCUCCUGACCUGCCCGUGUUCAUCCAGGUGUUAAUCUGCCACCAUGCCCUGCCUUGCAGCGCAGGGAAGACCGCAAGGCCGCAGCACCCUACGCCCCGGACGACCCGCCGCACAGGUGUGAGGCCAUCGCACCGCGAGGGAACGGUCACUAGGUGUCGCCGUCUUCCUCGGAAUGGAAGCCACGUUUCUCCUGCACCGUUGAAAUGGACUGGAACAAAAUUUUCUAGACUUCAAGGAAACCAUCCUUUCUAAUAACAAUGAGAUGGUAAUUAGUAGGGGAAGUGGCAUAAAAUUAUUUCACCAUUUAGUGAAACCAUGAUUCUAAACUACAGAAAAAACUGUCUUUUUUAAAGCUCAUUCAGCCGGGUGCAAACCGCCUUGCUGGCGGGCGGCACCUGAAGGUGACCUGGCCUUGUCCCCCCCUCCAUCCCCCCAGUUUCCUCUCUGUGGUGAACGUGGUUGGGGUUCACGUCUCACCCCCCAUGCAGACCCCAGCAGAUCCUGAGGGCAGCGUGUGGACCAUGUCCGAAGGGUCCAGAGGAAGAUCCCACAUGUGUAGAAUACAGACCCAUGGCCCCUGGGAGAGUGAAGGACACGCAGAUGAUUGGCAGCGGCCACUUCUCACACAAGCAACCCCUCUCUGUUUUACUGAUGAGAAAACAGAGGCUUAGAGCGAUUGUGUAACUUUCCCACAGCCAAGUUCAAACUCAAAGUGGGUUUCAAAAUUUAGGUUUGUCCGGCUCCGAGACCCGUGUUCUCUGCAGGGCACUUAGAGGACUCCUGUGCUGACCUCUCAGGCAGCCUUCUACGAAGGGACGCGGAGAAUAACAGGAAGGAUUUCCAUUUCCUUUUUCUAGGAAAAAAACAAAAGGCAAGAGGUAGGAAUUCAGAGCUAGAGUCGCUUUACAAUUCGGUUCCAUUGUCGAGACGGAGAGAUUCCACGACCAUGACAGAAAGUGAGACUAUUUAGGAUUUGCCAAAUAGGAUGUUUUCUGAACCAAUCAACAUAGAACGGAAAUGAGUUGGGACAAAUGGCAGUGCAGUGAGAGGAAAGGUGAGUCUUCCAGCAGCCCUGCCUCCCUCAUCCUGGGAGGAAACGUCCGCAGAAGCCGGGCUCCCCUGUGCCUUCCCCAGCCCUGCCUCCAGGAAGCUCUCUGAGCAUUUCCUACAGACCCUGCCCCAUGCUCUUCUCCUGCCGGUUUUCUCCACGUGGUUUUCUCCAUGUGCAGAAACGAUGAUUCGGGUCUGGCACAGUGGUUCAUGCCUGUAAUCCCAGCACUUUGGGAGGCCAAGGCAGGUGGAUCACCUGAGGUCGAGAGUUCGAGACCAGCCUGACCAACAUGGAGAAACCCGUCUCUACUAAAAAUACAAAAUUAGCCGGGCGUGGUGGUGCAUGCCUGUAAUCCCAGCUACUUGGGAGGCUUGAGGCAGGAGAAUCGCUUGAACCCGGGAGGCAGAGGUUGUGGUGAGCUGAGAUGGCACCACUGCACUCCAGCCUGAAUAACAAGAGAGAAACUCUGUCUCAAGAAAAAAAAGAUGAUUCGGAGCUGCCUGGAACAUGGAACAGCCCAGCGAGUCGCUGGCUGCAGUUCUCAGACCCAGGCUCUGCCGAUCUCAUCCCAGGCUGGAAGAGUUGCCACCAAGGCGUGUGGGUGCCAUUUGCUGCAAAAGUUCUUAUGGAGAACCAUGACACAUAACCGUGCCAGCUUCUCAUGCCGGGAGACCGCAGCGCCUCUCCACACAAGUGGGGCCUUCCUUCUGCACUUUUAUUCUGCAGUUGGGCUCCCGCUCCAGGGGGCUCCGUGUUUCUAAGAACCACAGCCCAGCAUCAUUAAAGAAGGCAUUAUUUUGUGUUUAGUAGAGCACUAAAUUGGUGAAAUAUAGUUGUGAUUCUGGUAGUGAAUAUCCCUGUUGCCACGGUAACGAUAUUAUGUCAUGGGAGGCUGUCUCGAGUGCUCCUGGGAGCAGCCAGGUCUCCGUGAGCUCCUGUUUACUCUAAAGACUCCGGCAGCCCACAUGUGUGCACGCUGAAUAAAAUCGUGCUGCGGGACCACAGUGCGGGGAGGCACCGACUCUGUCAUUCUGUCAACGCACCGCACAGUCACGAACAUCAGCAUUGACAUGAAAUGGACGGUUAGGGAGCUGCAAAGGACUCAUGCUCCUCUAUUGCACGAAUUUGUCUUUUCAUAUUCAAAGUACUUGUAAGAGCUCCAAGUUCCACGUACUCAGCCACUAACCUCAGGCAUCUGCACGGGAGACUUGGUACACAGGCUCACAUGCAUGCACGCACACAGGCACACGUACAAGCGCCCGUGUACACACAACAGUGUACACAUGCGACACACAUUCACACACAUGUGCAGAUGCACACACACAGAUCAGUGUGAGGAAGAGUCAGGGGUUCAUGGAACAGCCCCUGCUCUGCAAGCCAUGUCUGGCCGUGUAGGGGAAAGAGACAAAACAACACGCUGGUUACCUUGGAAGAGGAAAGAAAGGGAGAGACCUGCAGGUGUUGGGCGCGACACAACCCAGAGCCACCCUCGUCAAGGGACCCUCUCCCUGCUCGAUGCAUUCCUCCCACCCGACAUUCAGUGAACACAGGGAGGCUUAGUGUGAAGGACACCUGCAGUGUGUGUGUCUGUGUGUGUGAAUGUGUGUGUGUCUGUGCACAUGUGUGGUGUGUCUGUGUAAGUGUA